GGCACUGUGGCUGAGUGGUUAAAGCGAUAGACUAGAAUCGAAUCACCAAAUUCAGCUAAUCUAUUCCCUUCGGGGUCGCAGGUUCGAGUCCUGCCGGUGUCG
Molecule: non-coding RNA, 102 nt
Organism: Glonium stellatum
Lineage: Eukaryota; Fungi; Ascomycota; Dothideomycetes; Gloniales; Gloniaceae
Source: the annotation of a GenBank genome assembly